This 390-nucleotide unclassified non-coding RNA is filed under the name uncultured fungus. RNAcentral describes it as "sequence contains ITS1". The stretch from base 1 to 105 matches the Rfam family "5.8S ribosomal RNA", at positions 50 to 154 of the family's 154-position model. Lineage: Eukaryota; Fungi. The record is from RNAcentral.
GGAAUGCGAUAAGUAAUGUGAAUUGCAGAAUUCAGUGAAUCAUCGAAUCUUUGCACGCACCUUACGCUCCUUGGUAUUCCGAGGAGCACGCCUGUUUGAGAGUCAUGAAACCAUCAAACCCAAGUUUUGGAUUUCGAUCCAUGCUUGAGUUUGGAUUUGGAUGUUUGCCGGUGAUGAACCGACUCAUCUUAAAAGUAUUAGCUUGGAUCUGUCUAUAUGACUGGUUUGACUUGGCAUAAUAAGUAUUUUGCUGAGGACAUCUUCGGAUGGCCAGGACCUAGACUACUGUCUGCUAACUGAACCAUCACUUUAAGUGCAUCUUUGGAUGUUUCUCAUUGUGUAACUUUGACAUCUGGCCUCAAAUCAAGUAGGACUACCCGCUGAACUUAA